GACGAACGCUGGCGGCGCGCCUAACACAUGCAAGUCGAACGGAGCUGAGAGAAGCUUGCUUUUCUUAGCUUAGUGGCGCACGGGUGAGUAACGCGUGAGUAACCUGCCCUGGAGUGGGGGACAACAGUUGGAAACGACUGCUAAUACCGCAUAAGCCCACGAUCCGGCAUCGGAUUGAGGGAAAAGGAUUUAUUCGCUUCAGGAUGGACUCGCGUCCAAUUAGCUAGUUGGUGAGGUAACGGCCCACCAAGGCGACGAUUGGUAGCCGGACUGAGAGGUUGAACGGCCACAUUGGGACUGAGACACGGCCCAGACUCCUACGGGAGGCAGCAGUGGGGGAUAUUGCACAAUGGGGGAAACCCUGAUGCAGCGACGCCGCGUGGAGGAAGAAGGUUUUCGGAUUGUAAACUCCUGUCGUUAGGGACGAUAAUGACGGUACCUAACAAGAAAGCACCGGCUAACUACGUG
This 468-nucleotide ribosomal RNA is filed under the name uncultured bacterium. Its description in RNAcentral is "partial 16S ribosomal RNA". It matches the Rfam family "Bacterial small subunit ribosomal RNA", at positions 28 to 507 of the family's 1533-position model. The record is from RNAcentral.